This is a small nuclear RNA of Meriones unguiculatus (Mongolian gerbil), 107 nucleotides long. NCBI's taxonomy places the organism in Eukaryota, Metazoa, Chordata, Mammalia, Rodentia, Muridae. The record is from Ensembl.
GUGCUUGCUUCAGUAUCAUAUAUACUAAAAUUGGAACAAUACAGAGAAGAUUAGCAUGGAUCCUGCAAAAAAGUGACACAAAUUUUCAUGGAGAGUUUCAUGUAUUU